CUGCCUCUUCCUUACCACAGGUCUGUCAGUGUGUUGAUAGUCCUGUCAUUGCCAAGAGGCAGAUUAAAUACUAAGUGGACUUUUUUCUCAGUUUACGUUAUGUAACUGAGGUGGUGCAUUUAGCAGACAUU
Eriocheir sinensis (Chinese mitten crab) is the source of this 131-nucleotide small nucleolar RNA. RefSeq annotates it as small nucleolar RNA SNORA49. The transcript has a single exon. Lineage: Eukaryota; Metazoa; Arthropoda; Malacostraca; Decapoda; Varunidae. The record is from RefSeq and is a predicted model, not a curated record.